RNAcentral lists this ribosomal RNA (935 nucleotides) under Osteocephalus oophagus (oophagous slender-legged treefrog). RNAcentral's name for it is "partial 16S ribosomal RNA". The stretch from base 167 to 935 matches the Rfam family "Bacterial large subunit ribosomal RNA", at positions 569 to 1958 of the family's 2925-position model. The record is from RNAcentral. Lineage: Eukaryota; Metazoa; Chordata; Amphibia; Anura; Hylidae.
GCCAAUAAUCUAGCCCCCCAACAUCUAAUGAACUUAAACACCUUAUCACAAAAACUAAAACAUUUUAUUAAUCUAGUAAAGGCGAUUAAAAGAUUUGCAGGAGCAAUAUAAGCAGUACCGCAAGGGAAAGAUGAAAUAAAAAUGAAAUAAAUAUUAAGCACAAAAUAGUAGAGACUAACUCUUGUACCUUUUGCAUCAUGGUUUAACAAGUCCAAUCAAGCGUAAAGACUUACAGUUUGACCUCCCGAAACUAAGUGAGCUACUUCAGGGCAGCUUAUUGAGCGAACCCGUCUCUGUUGCAAAAGAGUGGGAUGACCUUCAAGUAGGGGUGAUAGACCUAACGAACUUAGUGAUAGCUGGUUACUCAAGAAAAGGAUUUAAGUCCAGCCUAAAGUCUUCUUAGUUUAUCAAAACAUGACCUUAACUUUAGAGUAAUUCAAAUAAGGUACAGCCUAUUUGAAAAAGGAUACAACCUAAACUAACGGGUAAUGCUUCAACUUUAUAACUAAGUGGGCCUAAAAGCAGCCACCUUUAAAACAGCGUCAAAGCUUCAUUAUACCACACACCUAAUACCAUAAAAAUUUGAUACCCCUUUAAUUCUAUUGAGUAAUUCUAUACUGUUAUAGAAAAUAUAAUGUUAAAACUAGUAACAAGAAGAAGACCUUCUCUUUAAUGCAAGUGUAAAUCAGAAAGGACCUCCCACUGAUAAUUAACCCCCAUGAAACUACAUUAGUAACCUCACAAGAAAAUCCUAAUAAAUUUUGAGUUAAUCUAACACAAGAGCAUUACAAGAAAGAUUUAAAGAAAAAGAAGGAACUCGGCAAACAUUAACCUCGCCUGUUUACCAAAAACAUCGCCUCUUGAAUAACUAUAAGAGGUCCAGCCUGCCCAGUGACUUUGUUCAACGGCCGCGGUAUCCUAACCGUGCAAAGGUA